GUGUAUAUAUCAGAAGACAUGAAUGAUGAUUCUUUUUUUUUUUGGAGAAACCUAUUUUAUGCAAACAUUGCUCAAAGUUUUUGGAGUUUCCAGAUUUUCGCAAGAUGUUUGAUAGAUGUCGCAUUCCGGAGAAGACAGCAGUGUGGUACGCGUAAGAUCAUGUUAUUUAUUACGAUUUCUCAAGCAUGUUGUAAAAUUCAAAAAAUCUGACGUUGUAUGGAUUUACUGUUUGUUCUUGUGGAACUAUUGUAUUUCUAAGC
Long non-coding RNA from Solanum pennellii, 260 nucleotides. RefSeq lists it as uncharacterized. The record is from RefSeq and is a predicted model, not a curated record. The transcript is spliced from 2 exons. NCBI's taxonomy places the organism in Eukaryota, Viridiplantae, Streptophyta, Magnoliopsida, Solanales, Solanaceae.